Molecule: ribosomal RNA, 484 nt
Filed under: uncultured bacterium
Lineage: Bacteria
Description: partial 16S ribosomal RNA
Rfam family: Bacterial small subunit ribosomal RNA
Source: RNAcentral
ACUCAAAUGAAUUGACGGGGGCCCGCACAAGCAGCGGAGCGUGUGGUUUAAUUCGAUGCAACGCGAAGAACCUUACCUAGGCUUGACAUGGAUGUGGUACCGACCUGAAAGGGAAGGGACCCGCAAGGGAGCAUUCACAGAUGCUGCAUGGCUGUCGUCAGCUCGUGCCGUGAGGUGUUGGGUUAAGUCCCGCAACGAGCGCAACCCCCGUCGUCAGUUAAAUUCUCUGGCGAGACCGCCGGUACAAACCGGAGGAAGGUGGGGAUGACGUCAAGUCAGCACGGCUCUUACGUCUAGGGCUACACACACGCUACAAUGGCCGGUACAACGGGCUGCGAAGGGGCGACCUGGAGCUAAUCCCAACAAAGCCGGUCUCAGUUCGGAUUGUAGGCUGAAACUCGCCUGCAUGAAGUCGGAGUUGCUAGUAACCGCUGGUCAGCACACAGCGGUGAAUACGUUCCCGGGCCUUGCACACACCGCCCGU